GACGAACGCUGGCGGCGUGCCUAAUACAUGCAAGUCGAACGAGAGCGCCCGGUGCUUGCGCUGUUCAAUCUAGUGGCGAACGGGUGAGUAACACGUGGGUAACCUGCCCAUCAGAGGGGGAUAACAUCCGGAAACGGAUGCUAAAACCGCAUAGGUCUUCGAGCCGCAUGGCUCGAAGAGGAAAAGAGGCGCAAGCUUCUGCUGAUGGAUGGACCCGCGGUGCAUUAGCUAGUUGGUGAGGUAACGGCUCACCAAGGCCGUGAUGCAUAGCCGACCUGAGAGGGUGAUCGGCCACAUUGGGACUGAGACACGGCCCAAACUCCUACGGGAGGCAGCAGUAGGGAAUCUUCCGCAAUGGACGCAAGUCUGACGGAGCAACGCCGCGUGAGUGAAGAAGGUUUUCGGAUCGUAAAACUCUGUUGUUAGAGAAGAACAAGUGCUAGAGUAACUGUUAGCGCCUUGACGGUAUCUAAACAGAAAGCCACGGCUAACUACGUG
RNAcentral lists this ribosomal RNA (498 nucleotides) under uncultured bacterium. Its description in RNAcentral is "partial 16S ribosomal RNA". It matches the Rfam family "Bacterial small subunit ribosomal RNA", at positions 28 to 507 of the family's 1533-position model. The record is from RNAcentral.